UCGUCAGCUCGUGUCGUGAGAUGUUGGGUUAAGUCCCGCAACGAGCGCAACCCUUGUCUUUAGUUGCCAUCAUUAAGUUGGGCACUCUAGAGAGACUGCCAGGGAUAACCUGGAGGAAGGUGGGGAUGACGUCAAAUCAUCAUGCCCCUUAUGCUUAGGGCUACACACGUGCUACAAUGGGUAGUACAGAGGGUUGCCAAGCCGUAAGGUGGAGCUAAUCCCUUAAAGCUACUCUCAGUUCGGAUUGUAGGCUGAAACUCGCCUACAUGAAGCUGGAGUUACUAGUAAUCGCAGAUCAGAAUGCUGCGGUGAAUGCGUUCCCGGGUCUUGUACACACCGCCCGUCACACCACGGGAGUUGGAGACGCCCGAAGCCGAUUAUCUAACCUUUUGGAAGAAGUCGUCGAAGGUGGAAUCAAUAACUGGGGUGAAGUCGUAACAAGGUAGCCGUAUCGGAAGGUGCGGCUGGAUCACCUCCUUU
This 480-nucleotide ribosomal RNA is filed under the name Clostridioides difficile. Its description in RNAcentral is "bacterial SSU rRNA". It matches the Rfam family "Bacterial small subunit ribosomal RNA", at positions 1052 to 1533 of the family's 1533-position model. Lineage: Bacteria; Bacillati; Bacillota; Clostridia; Peptostreptococcales; Peptostreptococcaceae. The record is from RNAcentral.